UUUUGCCUGCCCUGUUUGUGAGCUGACCGGGGAUAUUUCUUGAGCCUUAAUGCAUUUCCCCGGGGGUGAUAAAGCGUUGUGGUGUGCAUGUCCGUCACGUAACGGAAAGCCUGAAACAGCGUGGUUUACUCCCACUUGAGCCUCAGGUUCAAGAACAAAGGUCACCACGGCAGUGGCGGGCACUUA
Molecule: non-coding RNA, 186 nt
Filed under: Gammaproteobacteria bacterium
Lineage: Bacteria; Pseudomonadati; Pseudomonadota; Gammaproteobacteria
Description: 6S RNA
Rfam family: 6S / SsrS RNA
About the family: E. coli 6S RNA was the first non coding RNA to be sequenced, but its function was unknown until recently.
Source: RNAcentral